Molecule: long non-coding RNA, 839 nt
Filed under: Lepisosteus oculatus (spotted gar)
Lineage: Eukaryota; Metazoa; Chordata; Actinopteri; Semionotiformes; Lepisosteidae
Description: lncRNA (ENSLOCG00000021070.1)
Source: RNAcentral
GUAAUUUAGAAAAGACGUGUUUUUUUUGUUAAUUGAGAAAAGGCUUUUAUAACCAAGGGCCGUAUUUUAAAUCGCCAUUCUAACACUUAUAAAACCAAGUAGCGCAGUACUGCUUAACACGUGGGUAACGCUUUACAGAACUAAACUUCUAGACCACUUAUUAAAGACAACAGCAUCUAGAAAUAAUUUGCAGAACUGCACAAAAAGAUUUGGAGGGUUCGUAAAUCGGGUUUCGGCACCAAUCUCUGGCGAGUGUGGCGAUCUGGUCCUGCGAAAUCUGCGUUCAUGUAAAAACAUUUCAGAUUCUCCAUUUCCAGAGCCUCCUUAAAAUCGCAAGAUCUUGCAAGGGAUUCCCUUGUACUUCUGCGAGCCGGGAAUACCUUCGGCUGUUCCAAUAAAACACCCCCCCCCCCCCCCCCCCCCCUCUCCGCCUCAAGCGUCUCUAUUGGGGGAACAACCCCCCCCUCCCUCCUCUCCACUCCGGGCUUGACCGAAAGGCAACUUGCCUCGCAGACUAACGGAGGCGAGGUGAGAGUGCGACGGUAGAGUAACAGAGAAACUAGGCACAUGCAGGACAUACGAUGAUGAACACGACUUCCCAUCCGCAGGACCGAGGGCAUCCCGAGGUCCAGUCGAGAUGCGUGCGCUUUCUCGCCAGGGGAAAGCUGAAAGGAGUCCUUGUGCAGAAGAGCUGGUGGGGAGCGGAGGCGGAGGAGGAUGUGGGGGGGGGAGGGGAGCUGAAGGAUAAAACCCACGCCGUUAGGAAAGCUACGACUUUCAAGGCAGCUGAGCGAGGACGCGCUGAGAAGACAAACAGUCUCGUCUGGAGAAAAGCGUGA